Molecule: ribosomal RNA, 495 nt
Filed under: uncultured bacterium
Lineage: Bacteria
Description: partial 16S ribosomal RNA
Rfam family: Bacterial small subunit ribosomal RNA
Source: RNAcentral
GAUGAACGCUGGCGGCGUGCCUAAUACAUGCAAGUCGAGCGAACAGACGAGGAGCUUGCUCCUCUGACGUUAGCGGCGGACGGGUGAGUAACACGUGGAUAACCUACCUAUAAGACUGGGAUAACUUCGGGAAACCGGAGCUAAUACCGGAUAAUAUAUUGAACCGCAUGGUUCAAUAGUGAAAGACGGUUUUGCUGUCACUUAUAGAUGGAUCCGCGCCGCAUUAGCUAGUUGGUAAGGUAACGGCUUACCAAGGCGACGAUGCGUAGCCGACCUGAGAGGGGGAUCCGCCAACCCGGGACUGGGACCCGGUCCCGGCUCCUACGGGGGGCCGCAGUAGGGCAUCUUCCGGAAUGGGGGAAAACCUGGAGGGGGAACGCCGCGUGAGUGAAGAAGGUCUUCGGAUCGUAAAACUCUUUUGUUUGGGAAAAAAAAAUGGGAAAGGAACUUGGCCCGUCUUGGCGGUUCCUUAUCAAAAAACCCCGGCUAACUACG